CCGCGCAGAGGAGCGUGAUAGGCUGCUGAGGAGGGGGGGAACUGCAGCGCAGUCAGCGCCGCUGUCAGGAAGCAGAAGCCCACUCCGAAUGAAUGCAGCUCCCUGAGACCAGCUGAGAGAGGACGCUCCGUCUGUGUGAUUUACCAUGACUACUGAAUCGGGCGCAGACUCUGAGGCCAAACAGCCUCAGGCGAAAAAGGAGGCAGAGAAGGAGAAAACCAAAGCAGCGGCUGACCCUGCCUCGCCCCAGAAACAGCCGGAGCAGCUCCCAGCCGCAGUUGGACACAGCACCCCGGCCAGGAAAGAACAGGAGCAGCAGGAGGAGGAUCAGGAGUCCCACAGGUCGUCCACCAGUCGUCUGUCCAAGUCUCCUUUGAGGGGCGUUAAGAAAGUGAAGAUGAUGCAGUGCAAGAUCGCGCUGCUGGACGGCACUGACUAUACCGUCAACGUAGAGAAACGAGCCAAGGGUCAUGUGCUCUUUGACAAAGUGUGUGAUCACCUCAACCUGCUGGAGAAGGACUAUUUUGGCAUCACAUACAGAGACGUAGAGAAUCAGAAGAAUUGGUUGGACCCCACCAAAGAGCUUAAGAAGCAGAUCAGGACUGGUCCCUGGAACUUUGCUUUCAACGUCAAGUUUUACCCUCCGGACCCUUCGCAGCUGAGCGAGGACAUCACAAGGUACUACCUGUGCUUGCAGCUGAGGGAUGACGUUGUUUCGGGUCGCCUGCCCUGUUCCUUCGCCACCCACACAGUGCUGGGAUCCUACACGGUGCAGUCUGAACUCGGAGACUACGACCCAGACGAGCUGGGCAGCGAUUACAUCAGCGAGAUCCGCUUCGCACCCAACCAGACCAAAGAGCUGGAGGAGAAGGUCAUGGAGCUCCACAAGACCUAUAAGGGGAUGACACCUGCUGAAGCAGAAAUCCACUUCUUGGAAAAUGCCAAAAAACUCUCUAUGUAUGGCGUUGACCUCCAUCAUGCGAAGUUGGUAGGGAAUCUCUAUGAAAGCUUGGCUCCAGCUGAGGGAGAGGACUCGGAGGGAGUGGAGAUCAUGCUGGGAGUCUGUGCAAGUGGCCUCCUCAUCUACAGAGACAGGUUGCGGAUCAACAGAUUCGCAUGGCCCAAAAUCCUCAAGAUCUCGUACAAAAGGAACAACUUUUACAUCAAAAUCCGACCCGGCGAGUUUGAACAGUUCGAGAGCACGAUCGGUUUCAAGCUUCCCAACCACCGCGCUGCCAAAAGGCUAUGGAAGGUCUGCGUGGAGCACCACACCUUCUUCAGGCUCGUGUCUCCCGAGGUGCCUCCAAAGAAGUUCCUCAGCCUCGGCUCCAAGUUUCGCUACAGCGGCAGGACCCAGGCUCAGACGCGGAGGGCCAGCGCCCAGAUCGCCCGGCCCGCGCCCUUGUUCGAGCGCUCCUCCAGCAAACGCUACAACAUGUCCCGCAGCUUAGACGGAGCUCCCAUUAUGGAGAACCACGAGGCUCCGGUGAAGGACGGCACUGACGGCGCGCCCAAAGCCGUUGCCAAGGAAGACAUCAUCACCUCGGUGACGACGGAGAGGAAGGCGGAGGAGGAGAAGGAGGCGCGGGAGGACGAAGCACAGAAAGGCGGCGCGGAGACGCCCGAACCGACGGUGACCACGCCGCUCAGACACGACACGAAGCGCUCACCUUUUGUGUACGCCAACGACCCCCUCCGCUCCGAGCUCUCCCUCCCAUCGUCUCCCAUCUCGUCUCCCAAAGUGCGGCGGAGGCGCAGGGAGAGCGGCCGCAAGCGGGCCUCCUCGGUCAGCCCGGCCAAGAGCGGCGACGGCCGGCGGCGGCGGCAGGCCCGCGCCGACCGCACGGCGGCCCUGCUGGUGGAGCGGGCGCUGCUGCUGUCCGCCCGCAAGCAGCGGCUGGAGCAGGGCGGGCGGCGCGGCGGCGGCGGCGGCACGCUCUUCUCCUUCUCCCUGCACCUGCCCGACCUGUCCUCCUUUCUGGACGAGGACGGCUACAUCACCUUCCCCGACCUGUCCGAGAUGCGCUUCGUUCCGGAAUGCGCGCAGAACUUCCUCCCCUUCAAGUCACCGUCUCUAAUCCCCUGCUUCCUCUUCAUCUUCUUCUUCCUCCUCUCCACCUCCUUCUCAGUCCCCUACGCUCUCACCCUCUCCUUCCCGCUGGCGCUGUGCCUCUGCUACCUGGAGCCCAAGGCAGCCUCCCUGACCGCCUCCAUAGCCCAGGGCUACCAUGACCAUGACAGUUCAGAGGAAGAGGAGCAAACGCAGACUGACAGCGAACGUACGGACUUUGCCUGCGACGGAGAGAUGACUGCUACGGAGUACAGUUUCAUAAGACGAGCAAAAGGGGAAAAUGUUUUUAUCAGACAUAGUAAUCUGAUGCUAGAGGACUCUGAGCCCCCGCCCGAGGUGGCCAAGCACCAGACGAACAUCAGCGAGCUGAAGCGCUCCUUCCUGGAAACGGACGGCGGCGGCGGCGCUGCGGGUCUGACGGAGUGGGAGAAGAGACUCUCCUCGUCGCCUCUGCGCUCACCCAGGGCGGAUGAAGCGCCAAUGAUAGAGCCGCUGGAGCUGCAGGACGCUGAGGAUGAGCAGCCAGCCGGAGAGGAGACCAAAGAGGAAUUGGGACCUAAAGGCGCUGCGGCGGCGGGAUAUCUGGUGAAAUACAUGGCGGAUAGCAUUAUAACAGACGGGCCCUCCUCCUCCGGGCCCCACGGCAUUAGCCUGUCGACCACCAUGGACGACGACGUCUUCGUGGAUGGGACCCUGAGGGAGGAGGCGGGAGACAAAACCCCAGACUCCCAGGAGGAGGAGGAGGAGGAGGUAUCGGACAGGUCGAUGGUGAAGGUCAGCCCCGGAGCUGUGAGACAGGAAGUGUCUCAGGCCAUCAGCGACAAGAAAGGCACGCUCAUUAUCUUUAAGCAGGCGGAGAACAAAGAGGACACAGAGUACGAAGGGACGAGCGAAAAAGAGGGGCUCGCUGUCCCGGCGGAGUCUGAAGCCGACGGAAACCAGAGAGAAACAGAAGCUUCUGCUGCCGUAAAAGGUCAAACUUCAGUAGUUAAGAUGCUGAGUCCAGCGGUGGAGAUAAAAACUGGUGACGGCACUCAGAUUAAAGGGAUUGACUCUCCCAAGAAAGCAAUGGCGUCAUGGAUUUUUGAGGAGAAGGUGGAGAUCUCAGAGGUCACCAGUGUGUUUACGAAAGAAGUCGAAGAGCUGAAAGCUUUGGAAGAGCCGCAGCAGAAAGCAGAAGAAAUCCAGCCCAAGUCCAGCCCGACUCGCAUUGCAGUUUCUGAAUCUUCGUCUGCGUCCUUAGCAGCGUCUACGCUCGGAUGGGUGUCCCCCUCUCAAAAGGAAUCAGCUGACCAGGAUGAGAAGGAAGUUGUUAUUACUGAAAAUGAAGCUGAGCCCGCUAACUCCAAGGCUCACGAUGGAGGGGAGGUGGUUGCCAAAGAUGUUCCUGUGGUCCACACAGAGACGAAAACCAUAACCUACGAGUCCGCUGAGGCUGACACGAAUGGAGACGCAGACCCCGGGGUGCUGCUGAGCGCUCAGACCAUCACCUCAGAAACCACCAGCACCACCACAACCACGCACAUCACAAAGACGGUGAAAGGCGGCAUCUCAGAGACUCGAAUCGAGAAGAGGAUCGUCAUCACCGGAGAUGCAGACAUCGACCAUGACGAGGCUCUGGCUCAGGCCAUAAAGGAAGCUAAAGAGCAGCAUCCUGACAUGUCAGUGACCAAAGUAGUGGUACAUAAAGAGACAGAGAUCACGCCAGAGGAGGGGGAGGACUGACCCAGAUACACACAGCAUUGGGGAGCCAGACUGAGAAACAUCCGGCUACUGAAAUUCUAACAGAAUAACUGAGGGCUACUUCCUGCGACAUCCACUUCUCCACGACGUUUCGCCUGGACCCUCAGAAGGCUCCUCCUCCUCCUCCUCCACGGACGCUGCAGCCCGCCGCUCCACUCGUAAAACCUCGUCUGCAACAAAAACCAGUGAACACCCCUCUGCAUGAGAAGGACGCCAAGUUGCAUCAUCAACCCAAAUUGGCCCGUCUGAUUUGUAAUUUUUUUAUUUUAAUGAUUUUUUUUAUUUUAUUUUAUUUCAACGGUCCUCGAUUCGUCUGCACGCCCAAUCCCCGCGUGCGGCAAAGCAAACCUGCCUUUUACUGCCUUAUUGCGACUUUAAUGCAUUUUUACGAUUGCUGAGGAUAAUUACUGUAGCAGCAUUUUAUUUAUGAAAUAAAGCCAUCACUCCAGAAACUUGUAAUUGCUGUAGGCUGUACACGCUAGAGCGCAAAACACUAUUUAACCUCGAUGUAGAAGAAAAACGAGCACAGCUUCACUCCCACAGAAUGAUUUUUCCACCCGGUGCACCACUACAGACGUCGCUCCAGCUCUGCACUGUGUACAUAUCAAAGCCUCUAGAGGAAAGCAAGCUUGUAACGAUUGAUUUUUUUUGUGUCGUGUCUGUUUUGAAUUGAAUCCAUUUCACUUUUAUUGUGAUUUUUACCCUUCUUUUGUGACGUUUUCGUCCCACAACAAGCUUUAUUUUUUUGGCAGAAGCCGAGGAAUCAAAAUGAAAAACACAAAGGACGUUUGACGUGCCUGUGCAAGGCUUUGAAUGUUUUCCAGGGCGGGACGGUCGGCCGCGGCACAAGCUCUGCGUCUGCGCGACCGCGGGGCAAAGGGCUCAGACGGCCGAGCUCCGCCCAAAACAGAUGCAAAGCCGAGAGAAAUCAGCUAUCCUCCCUGGACAGCCGCCUCCAUGUCAGCUGUAUGCCUCCUCUGUCUGUCUGUCUCUGAAAGGUGUACAGCCCUGUGUUCCACGAGAGUGGAGAAGUAAAAAAGUGGCGGAUGCAUUUUUGUUCCUAAUUUGCAGUUUAUCCCUAAAUUAAUAAAGUGACCACAGUACAACA
Fundulus heteroclitus (mummichog) is the source of this 4922-nucleotide RNA transcript. It is a transcript of the gene named erythrocyte membrane protein band 4.1-like 3b, with no coding region annotated. The transcript is spliced from 27 exons. NCBI's taxonomy places the organism in Eukaryota, Metazoa, Chordata, Actinopteri, Cyprinodontiformes, Fundulidae. The record is from RefSeq and is a predicted model, not a curated record.